Molecule: ribosomal RNA, 468 nt
Filed under: uncultured bacterium
Lineage: Bacteria
Description: partial 16S ribosomal RNA
Rfam family: Bacterial small subunit ribosomal RNA
Source: RNAcentral
GACGAACGCUGGCGGCGUGCUUAACACAUGCAAGUCGAACGGAAAGGCCCUGCUUUUGUGGGGUGCUCGAGUGGCGAACGGGUGAGUAACACGUGAGUAACCUGCCCUUGACUUUGGGAUAACUUCAGGAAACUGGGGCUAAUACCGGAUAGGAGCUCCUGCUGCAUGGUGGGGGUUGGAAAGUUUCGGCGGUUGGGGAUGGACUCGCGGCUUAUCAGCUUGUUGGUGGGGUAGUGGCUUACCAAGGCUUUGACGGGUAGCCGGCCUGAGAGGGUGACCGGCCACAUUGGGACUGAGAUACGGCCCAGACUCCUACGGGAGGCAGCAGUGGGGAAUAUUGCACAAUGGGCGGAAGCCUGAUGCAGCAACGCCGCGUGCGGGAUAACGGCCUUCGGGUUGUAAACCGCUUUCGCCUGUGACGAAGCGUGAGUGGCGGUAAUGGGUAAAGAAGCACCGGCUAACUACGUG